GGAGGGGGAUAACGGCUGGAAACGGCCGCUAAUACCCCAUAUGCCGAGAGGUGAAAUGAAUUUCGUCUGAGGAUGAGCCCGCGUCUGAUUAGCUAGUUGGUGGGGUAAAGGCCUACCAAGGCGACGAUCAGUAGCUGGUCUGAGAGGAUGAUCAGCCACACUGGGACUGAGACACGGCCCAGACUCCUACGGGAGGCAGCAGUGGGGAAUUUUCCGCAAUGGGCGAAAGCCUGACGGAGCAACGCCGCGUGAGGGAUGAAGGCCUCUGGGCUGUAAACCUCUUUUCUCAAGGAAGAAGAACUGACGGUACUUGAGGAAUAAGCCACGGCUAAUUCCGUGCCAGCAGCCGCGGUAAUACGGGAGUGGCAAGCGUUAUCCGGAAUUAUUGGGCGUAAAGCUUCCGCAGGCGGCCUUGUAAGUCUGUUGUUAAAGCGUGGAGCUCAACUCCAUUUAAGCAAUGGAAACUACAAGGCUGGAGUGUGGUAGGGGCAGAGGGAAUUCCCGGUGUAGCGGUGAAAUGCGUAGAUAUCGGGAAGAACACCAGUGGCGAAGGCGCUCUGCUGGGCCAUAACUGACGCUCAUGGACGAAAGCCAGGGGAGCGAAAGGGAUUAGAUACCCCUGUAGUCCUGGCCGUAAACGAUGAACACUAGGUGUCGGGGGAAUCGACCCCCUCGGUGUCGUAGCCAACGCGUUAAGUGUUCCGCCUGGGGAGUACGCACGCAAGUGUGAAACUCAAAGGAAUUGACGGGGGCCCGCACAAGCGGUGGAGUAUGUGGUUUAAUUCGAUGCAACGCGAAGAACCUUACCAGGGUUUGACAUCCUGCGAAUCCCUUGGAAACGAGGGAGUGCCUUCGGGAGCGCAGUGACAGGUGGUGCGUGGCUGUCGUCAGCCCGUGUCGUGAGAUGUUGGGUUAAGUCCCGCAACGAGCGCAACCCACGUCUUUAGUUGCCAGCAUUCAGUUGGGCACUCUAGAGAGACCGCCGGUGAUAAACCGGAGGAAGGUGUGGAUGACGUCAAGUCAUCAUGCCCCUUACAUCCUGGGCUACACACGUACUACAAUGCUACGGACAAAGGGCAGCAAGCUCGCGAGAGUUAGCAAAUCCCAUAAACCGUGGCUCAGUUCAGAUCGUAGGCUGCAACUCGCCUACGUGAAGGAGGAAUCGCUAGUAAUCGCAGGUCAGCAUACUGCGGUGAAUACGUUCCCGGGCCUUGUACACACCGCCCGUCACACCAUGGAAGUUGGCCAUGCCCGAAGUCGUUACUCCAACCCUUGUGGAGGAGGACGCCGAAGGUGGGGCUGAUGACUGGGGUGAAGUCGAAACAAGGUA
This 1330-nucleotide ribosomal RNA is filed under the name metagenome. RNAcentral describes it as "bacterial SSU rRNA". It matches the Rfam family "Bacterial small subunit ribosomal RNA", at positions 135 to 1498 of the family's 1533-position model. The record is from RNAcentral.